This is a long non-coding RNA of Columba livia (rock pigeon), 482 nucleotides long. RefSeq lists it as uncharacterized. The transcript has 2 exons. Lineage: Eukaryota; Metazoa; Chordata; Aves; Columbiformes; Columbidae. The record is from RefSeq and is a predicted model, not a curated record.
GCUUGGCAACAACCAAAACAUCAGUGUAUUAUCAACAUUCUUCUCCUACUAAAUCCAAAAGACAGCACUGUAGCAGCUACUUGGAAGAAAAUUAACUCUGUCACAGCUGAAACCAGGACACUGAUCUUCACAGCCUCCUGGAAAGAUUCCCUUGGAGAUCUGAGACGAGAACCUACCUGUCCCCAGCAGAUGGAGAUUUUUUACUGAACCAGCCAGGCCCAAAGGAAUUUCAAGGCCACCUCAGAAAGUGGAAAACAGGAUCUGCUGUGGGAGUGAGGCAGUUCUGCAAUAAUAGGGCCUCAGCACGACAUAAAUCAACGGACCUAUCAGCAGUGAGACGCCAGCGCAUGGACAGCUCGUGAACAUAGAUGAUAUCCAAUUAGUGAAUGCAUGCUUGGAGCGUGGACACAUGAUCAGAGAAUAGUUGCAUAUGUAAGGAGGCUUGUUUCUGUAAUAAAUAGCUUUGCGUGAUCCACAUUGAA